RNAcentral lists this ribosomal RNA (253 nucleotides) under uncultured bacterium. RNAcentral's name for it is "partial 16S ribosomal RNA". It matches the Rfam family "Bacterial small subunit ribosomal RNA", at positions 524 to 776 of the family's 1533-position model. The record is from RNAcentral.
UACGUAGGUGGCAAGCGUUGUCCGGAUUUACUGGGCGUAAAGCGCGCGCAGGCGGACUGGUCAGUCCGGGGUGAAAUCUCACGGCUCAACCGUGAGCGGUCCCCGGAUACUGCCAGUCUUGAGGUGUCUAGAGGAGAGCGGAAUUCCCGGUGUAGUGGUGGAAUGCGUAGAUAUCGGGAAGAACACCAGUGGCGAAGGCGACUUCCUGGCCUGUUCUUGACGCUGAGGCGCGAAAGCUAGGGUAGCAAACGGG